Molecule: transfer RNA, 91 nt
Filed under: Phycisphaerales bacterium
Lineage: Bacteria; Pseudomonadati; Planctomycetota; Phycisphaerae; Phycisphaerales
Description: tRNA-Ser
Rfam family: tRNA
About the family: Transfer RNA (tRNA) molecules are approximately 80 nucleotides in length. Their secondary structure includes four short double-helical elements and three loops (D, anti-codon, and T loops). Further hydrogen bonds mediate the characteristic L-shaped molecular structure. tRNAs have two regions of fundamental functional importance: the anti-codon, which is responsible for specific mRNA codon recognition, and the 3' end, to which the tRNAs corresponding amino acid is attached (by aminoacyl-tRNA synthetases). tRNAs cope with the degeneracy of the genetic code in two manners: having more than one tRNA (with a specific anti-codon) for a particular amino acid; and 'wobble' base-pairing, i.e. permitting non-standard base-pairing at the 3rd anti-codon position.
Source: RNAcentral
GGACGGGUGGCCGAGUGGCUGAAGGCGCUGGUUUGCUAAACCGGUAUACGGGGUAUUCCUCGUAUCGCGGGUUCGAAUCCCGCCCCGUCCG